UACGUAGGGACCAAGCGUUGUUCGGAUUUACUGGGCGUAAAGGGCGCGUAGGCGGCGCGGUAAGUCACUUGUGAAAUCUCUGAGCUUAACUCAGAACGGUCAAGUGAUACUGCUGUGCUAGAGUGCGGAAGGGGCAAUCGGAAUUCUCGGUGUAGCGGUGAAAUGCGUAGAUAUCGAGAGGAACACCUGAGGUGAAGGCGGGUUGCUGGGCCGACACUGACGCUGAUGCGCGAAAGCCAGGGGAGCAAACGGG
This 253-nucleotide ribosomal RNA is filed under the name uncultured bacterium. RNAcentral describes it as "partial 16S ribosomal RNA". It matches the Rfam family "Bacterial small subunit ribosomal RNA", at positions 524 to 776 of the family's 1533-position model. The record is from RNAcentral.